GUUCAGCACUAAGUCACUUUGUCUUUAUGGCAAAUGUGAGAUGCAGUGUAUGGAAUGUCAAAUUUCUAGUAUGAGAAAUUAACGAUUUAAGUCCUUCUUAAAUGAGGCCAUUUACCCAUAGAGGGUGCCAGGCCCGUAUAACGUUAAUGAUUACUAGAUGGCAUUUCCAAAGAGUCGUGUUGCUUGAUAGUGCAGCACUAAGUGGGUGGUAAACUCCAUCUAAAACUAAAUAUAACCAUGAGACCGAUAGUAAACAAGUACCGUGAGGGAAAGUUGAAAAGAACUCUGAAUAGAGAGUUAAAUAGUACGUGAAACUGCUUAGAGGUUAAGCCCGAUGAACCUGAAUAUCCAUUAUAGAAAAUUCAUCAUUAUGAUUUUAAUAUUUAUAAUAUUAUAAUAAUGGUGUGCAUUUUUUCUAUAAAGGACAUUGUAAUCUAUUAAUAUGUGGCAAAUUUAUCAUAAGAUCAAUGAUGCGUAAGUUUAUUCAAAUUAUUUUGCUUGCAAUUUAACAUAGAAUAAAUGCUCUUGAUUUGAUAAAGUGUUGAUAGAUUUAUUGUAUAUAGUGCUUAAAUAUGUAUAUUUUAUAAUAGCAUAUUAAUCAUUGAUUUUUAUGUUUAUUAUAUGCACUUAUAUGAUUAACAAUGCGAAAGAUUCAGGAUACCUUCGGGACCCGUCUUGAAACACGGACCAAGGAGUCUAACAUAUUUGCAAGUUAUUGGGUAUCAAAACCUAAUAGCGAAAUUAACAUAACUUAAUGGGAUUAGUUUUUAGAUUAUUUAUAGUCUAUUAAUUCAAUCCCGGGGCGUUCUAUAUAGUUAUGUAUAAUAAUAUUUAUAUUAUUUAUACCUCUAACUAGAGCGUACCUUGAGCAUAUAUGCUGUGACCCGAAAGAUGGUGAACUAUACUUGAUCAGGUUGAAGUCAGGGGAAACCCUGAUGGAAGACCGAAACAGUUCUGACGUGCAAAUCGAUUGUCAGAAUUGAGUAUAGGGGCGAAAGACCAAUCGA
This 1007-nucleotide ribosomal RNA is filed under the name Helicobia rapax. RNAcentral's name for it is "eukaryotic LSU rRNA". It matches the Rfam family "Eukaryotic large subunit ribosomal RNA", at positions 107 to 938 of the family's 3401-position model. Lineage: Eukaryota; Metazoa; Arthropoda; Insecta; Diptera; Sarcophagidae. The record is from RNAcentral.